UACGUAGGGUGCAGGCGUUAAUCGGAAUUACUGGGCGUAAAGCGUGCGCAGGCGGUUUCUUAAGUCAGAUGUGAAAGCCCCGGGCUUAACCUGGGAACUGCGUUUGAAACUGGGAGACUUGAGUGUGGCAGAGGGGGGUGGAAUUCCACGUGCAGCAGUGAAAUGCGUAGAUAUGUGGAGGAACACCAAUUGCGAAGGCAGCUCGCUGGGACGUUACUGACGCUGAGACGCGAAAGCGUGGGGAGCAAACAGG
RNAcentral lists this ribosomal RNA (253 nucleotides) under uncultured bacterium. RNAcentral describes it as "partial 16S ribosomal RNA". It matches the Rfam family "Bacterial small subunit ribosomal RNA", at positions 524 to 776 of the family's 1533-position model. The record is from RNAcentral.